This 3146-nucleotide long non-coding RNA is filed under the name Lactuca sativa (garden lettuce). Its description in RNAcentral is "long non-coding RNA (LSAT_LNC006329)". The record is from RNAcentral. Lineage: Eukaryota; Viridiplantae; Streptophyta; Magnoliopsida; Asterales; Asteraceae.
UUCCAAUGAGCACGGGUUGAAUCCAAUACUCAGAACUUAUGAGUACUCGUGAGUGUUGUAGCCAUUUUUCCAAAAUCUUAGACCUCUACAAGCCAACCCAUGACAGUCUUAAUUCAUAUCUACUUCCAACAUAUGACCGAAUGUGGAUGGUUUGAAUAACUUAGUCAAUCAGAACAAUGACCUAGUUAUUCUGGAAGUCAAAACAUGCAAAGUGAAACACAAUAAUAAUUGAAUCCAAUAUGGUAUCAAAACCUAUGAACAUAAAUAAAACACCUUUUAUUUAUCACCAUAUGAUUACACAUUAUUCAUUGUAUAUUGUUUCAGCUAUCAAAUUUAUUCUUGAAUUUAAAAUAGUAGUUGUCCCAUGCUCCAAUNUUUAUGAUGACUGACUAAUUGAACAAAUCAAAUCAGUCUUGGCCCGGACGAACACUUCCAUUUGUCAUCAUCAAAUCAUCGAGGGGCCCGCAUAUUCGACUCAUAUGGCUUGUUUUACUACUUGUUGAAUCAUACACAAAGGCACGUUUUAUAGCACCGAGUUACCAAAUGCGUUUUCGUGCAAUCAAUGUACUAUCAACUCAUAGUAACAACUCAUAUCUCUAGGUUUGAAGAAUAUAAGAUAUUAUCGUCUCAUGAUCACUCGUGAUAAAAUCCAUGAAGUGAUUCCAAUGAGCGCGGGUUGAAUCCAAUACUCAGAACUUAUGAGCACUCAUGAGUGUUGUAGCCCUUUGUCCAACACCUUAGACCUCUACAAGCCAACUCAUGACAGUCUUAAUUCAUAUCUACUUCCAACAUAUGACCGACUGUGGAUGGUUUGAAUAACUUAGUCAUUCCGGAAGAAUAACCCAGUUUAUUCGGGAAGUCAAAACAUGCAAAAUGAAACACAAUAAUAAUUGAAUCCAAUAUGGUAUCAACCCUUUGAACAUAAAUAAAACACCUUUUAUUUAUCACCAUAUGAUUACACAUUAUUCAUUGUAUACUGUUUCAGCUAUCAACUUUAUUCUUGAAUUUAAAACAAUAGUUGUCCCAUGCUCCAAGCAUGUACACUAUGUUUUCUUAAACACUAGUCAUGCCACACACCAAGUAUGCAUACUAUGUUUGUCUAUGAUCUUUACUUUGUGAACUAGAUCAAUUGAACAUAACUUCAAUGAUUCUCUUUUCACACUCCCAAAUCCUUACUGCAAAUGCAAGAAUUCCAAAUUCAUGCCAUUUACUGAAAUCUGUUAGAUUCUAAACUUAUAUGCAUUGAUCCUCUUGUAAUGAUUAUGCACAAAGUCAUAAAGACUUGGCAACAAUCAUUACAGAGUAUUCCAAAGGAGAUCAACUCCUUGGAAAUAUCCUUCUUGCAUUAAGUUUCCUUAAUCUUACACAGAUUGAAAAUUCUAACUUUGAAACAUUUCCAGAUUCCAUUUUGACUAUCACUUCUGAACAAGAGUUGCCUCCUUACAGAUUAUGUCAAUAUGGUCCUUCCAGAAUUAUCACUAUACUUCCAACUGUCCUUGAGCAACCAAUCUUUGGUAAACCUUAGAUUGUCCUCGACAAUUGUUUAAUCCUUUUAGUCAUAUCCAGUUCUAAACCUUUUCCCUUCUUAAUGCCCCAGGCAUUUGGAAAAUUUUAGAAAGGAUGAAUAUAGCACAUGUAAUCGAUCCUAUAUCCGAAGCAUAUGGGACACGAUUCAUGAUGUCUCACAUAAAGACUAAACCAGUCUUUUGCUAUAACAUUUCCAUUUCAAUUUGCCAAGUUCUCAUAAUUCAGAUUAUGAAAAGGGAUGCCGUAAUCAUAAUCGAAUUUUAGAACGCAAAUAAUGGACUCAUAUACAGAAUUUCCUUAUGUUGAGUCAUUCCAACAUGAAAUUUAUAUUUAUAUAUAUCCUUGACUAAAUGAUUAAAACCUCAUGAUCUAAGCUUAUAGAUUUGAUAUGAAGUAUAAUUUCCUCUCCCUUAAUUAUAGCAAAACAACUUUUUCCCAAUUGAAACCUUUUAUUUUCUAUAAUUAAAAUUGCUAACUUGUAAUACUUUUUAUAAUUAUCAUGCUCCCACUAACAUGAUGAUUAUUAGCAUAACACUUAUGCUCCCACUAGCUUUGACAUGUACUCAGAAAUCAGCUGACUUUCUUACCAAAGUUCAGAUUUCUGAUACUAGAUUGCUUUGAUAAAACUUUAUCAAAAUCAUGCACCUUUCCUUAGAUAGCACACUUGUGUGUCUAAACAAUUAUGAAGAGGGAUACCAUAAUCAUAAUGCAUGGUUAGACCUUUUUCCCACUUCUCACAAGUCCAGGUCAGUGUGCCGGUAAACCACACACGCUCCACUAACGACUUUGAGAAUGCAAAUAUUACAACUGCUAUCUAGCUAAAAUCUACUUAGUGAAAGUGUUUCCUCACGAUCAUUUUCAUGAAUCGGAGAGAAACCUUAUGACGCUUAGAUCUGGUGUAUGUGUUCUUAUCCAUGUGAAUUGUCAAAACCAUAGCCACAAGACAAGGAUAAUGACAAAUCCAAACUCAUAUGGACUGAACUCAAUCUUAAUUUCUUGCCACGUGGUAGCUCAAAGACCUGUCAUUGCUUCCAAGUUGUUGUGCAACAAAUUGAGAACUCUAAGAACUCAUAUGCAAAGCCAACUUUAACUGGAAUGGGCACAGAAUAUGUCAACACGAUAGGUUAUAAACCUCAAGUCGUGUGCUAGUGAAGAACUUCAUGUUUUAUUCUUGAUUAGUUCUUGAGACUUUCAAGACCUUUAAGACUCCCACUGUCCUCUUGACAUAUAAGACUUUCUUGUCAGAUAUUCAAGAGAUAGUGUGGAUUCUAAUCAAGACAAACACUUCACACAAUUGGCCUAAGUUGGUCUUUGUUUUAUCCAAAACAUCACAACUUACCAAUUUCAAAUGUACAAGAGUAGAAAACUUUUACUCUUACAUUUGACAAGUGUUUUAAACCUUCUUUAAGACAUGUCACUCAAGUUACAAUCUUGGAGUAUGACUCUAAGACUUGUAUUGGAACGAAGUAUGACUCAUCUUCUUGAUUUAACCACUUCAAUAAUUCAUAGUUCCUCUUCUUAGUCAUAAGAAUGCACUAAGAUUUCAUUUGAGAACUAAUUGUGCUAUGGUUUCUUAAUCAUUUAGAUGAUCACAAAACUGAUACUAAAGUACUCUCCCA